GGCUGGGUAAGCAUUUUCUUGCAGUCUGUUUGUUUUGGCCUGCAGUGGUUUUCUGAGCAGCUGUAAGAGAUCCCGAUAGAAGGCGCAAACACACCCAUUCCACAGCGGCCGUCUCUCCCAAGGCUGUCCUUUGUAUCCGGAGACUGAAAAACUCGUAAGCCUUUGAGGACUUUUCUGAAGAUCCCAUGGUAGCUGGUCUACCCUGAGCUUUGAAUUUUCUUGGAGUUUUACAUUCAAAAGUGGAAGAUCAGCUUUUCAUCACGGAGCUGGAAGGAGUGGUUUAGUUUCUGCACAUUUGGAAACUGAAAUUGAGAACCUUAAGCCAUUUGCCUGAAGUUUACACAGUUUAGUCAGGACGGGAACAGAAAUGAAAAACUCUGAAGUUUCCUGGUUUAUUAGCACAACGAAAGCUCUGCCCACAAGAAGGAAAGUUCAGUUCAGAUUCUCUCUAACUUUAAGAACCUGGAUGAAUGUAUCAAUUUUAGUUGAGAAACGGCUCAUCAGGAUAACCUUAUCAUUCUCAAGGGAACAUAAUUUUAAGGGGAUACCUUUGGAAUAACUUGAUUUUCAACCAUAAUGCUCAUUCUUCAUGAGUCUCAUGGGGCAGGGGUGUGUGUGUGUGUGAAGAUUUUCCUUGCAUGAAAUAUUUGAACAUUUUCGUAUUUAAUACUCCUUUUAACCAUAAAUGCACUUACUUGAGAAUAAGACAAGCACUGUAGGGCAAGUCAGUCACUCAAGCCCUUUGCAGGGACGGCCGCAUACAUGUAAGUGAGGCCAUAAACCAAAGAAGGGGAUAACAGAGUGGGGACACGGUCUCCAUGGUGCUUAAUAGUUGACACAGUGCCUUCACACGUGUUACCAAACUGAUCCCCAGCACGGUUUUGCAGAAGUGGGAAGAACAGGGAUAAGGACUGCCAGAAAACAAAACCAAAGCUCCGUGAUCCUGGGUGACUUACCCAGCACAGCCUGGUGCCGAACUGGGACUCAACCCCAGGCUUUCGCUCCAAGCGCACCACUCAUCUCAGUACCUCCUGAUGCACGCGUGACCCAGGGUCUGCCAGUGUCUCAGGGCUCCCCAAGUGUCUGUUACCCUGGACGCCCGACAUGCCGCAGGACACCCUAAGCUAAAGGAAGCUGCGGCAACCCAGUUUUGUCCUUUCACUCUGUGAAGAAGAUGAGCUUGGGGGCUAUCCCCAACAUUUCUUUGGAUUUUUGCUAACAAAGGAAAGAAUAGUAUUAAAACAAAGCAAUGCAUAUCUAAGCCUGGUGAUGAUACUGCACAUAUACUCUGUCUUAAAGAACGCCCAUAAAAACCAAAUCUGAAUGGAUAAAGCUGAUCAAACAGACAGGUUUCAUUUUAAUUAUAAAAGCAUUCUUUACAACUGGAGCUACAGUUGAGUUUCAUUACACAGCAAGCUCCUGAUGUGAACUGUAAAGGAUCUCCUUUACAAAAAUGAAACAAGAAAGAUUGUACACCUUGGCUUUUUAGGAGCCCACUUGUUGCAUGAAACAAAGAACAACUGGACUGUCGUUAACCCAUGUACUUUCACCACACCCUCCUCUACUUUCCAACUGGGAUCUCAGGGUGCUUUUUCAGCUGGCCCCUCGGGGUGAUUGCAAUAUCCUGAUUUUUCAGAGCAGGCACUGGUGACAUGAAGGUCUCUUGUUGAAGUGACCCAGGUAAGUCACAGUCACCAGGGUAAGCCAGCAGGUUGGGGAUAUGAGAAUUUUGUUUAUUUCUUCACCUGCCAGAGCUGCCAUUCUUUCAUAAAGCAUAAACGCUGUGCCUUUUGAGAAUACCUGCAACAAUACCUGUAAGUCAGACCGACGAUAUCAAUCACAGGCCACCACCCUAGGGAUGCUUUGAAGCUACAAGAGGGUUGGGAGACCUUCUUGUUUGUUAAGCAUGAAAUGUCAUAAAAAUUCCAAAGCAGGACUCAAAUUUCCAGGGGGAAGGGACCUCUUUAUUGUUUCCUCUAAUAGCUGCUUUGGUGCUUUAGUGAAUAAAUGUGUUGCUCAAAA
Sus scrofa (pig) is the source of this 2022-nucleotide non-coding RNA. NCBI's taxonomy places the organism in Eukaryota, Metazoa, Chordata, Mammalia, Artiodactyla, Suidae. The record is from RefSeq and is a predicted model, not a curated record.